UGGCUCAGUUGGUAGAGCAUGGUGUUUGCAAUGCCAGGGCUGUGGGUUCGAUUCCCAC
Salmo salar (Atlantic salmon) is the source of this 58-nucleotide non-coding RNA. NCBI's taxonomy places the organism in Eukaryota, Metazoa, Chordata, Actinopteri, Salmoniformes, Salmonidae. The record is from Rfam.